CCUACGGGUGGCAGCAGUGAGGAAUAUUGGUCAAUGGACGAGAGUCUGAACCAGCCAAGUAGCGUGAAGGAUGACUGCCCUAUGGGUUGUAAACUUCUUUUAUAUGGGAAUAAAAUGUUCCACGUGUGGGAUUUUGUAUGUACCAUAUGAAUAAGGAUCGGCUAACUCCGUGCCAGCAGCCGCGGUAAUACGGAGGAUCCGAGCGUUAUCCGGAUUUAUUGGGUUUAAAGGGAGCGUAGGUGGAUUGUUAAGUCAGUUGUGAAAGUUUGCGGAUCAACCAUAAAAUUGCAGUUGAAACUGGCAGUCUUGAGUACAGUAGAGGUGGGCGGAAUUCGUGGUGUAGCGGUGAAAUGCUUAGAUAUCACGAAGAACUCCGAUUGCGAAGGCAGUUCACUGGACUGCAACUGACACUGAGGCUCGAAAGUGUGGGUAUCAAACAGGAUUAGAUACCCGGGUAGUC
Molecule: ribosomal RNA, 460 nt
Filed under: uncultured bacterium
Lineage: Bacteria
Description: partial 16S ribosomal RNA
Rfam family: Bacterial small subunit ribosomal RNA
Source: RNAcentral